UACAGAGGGGGCAAGCGUUGUUCGGAAUUACUGGGCGUAAAGGGCGCGUAGGCGGCCUGCUAAGUCGAACGUGAAAUCCCCGGGCUUAACCCGGGAACUGCGUCCGAUACUGGCUGGCUUGAAUCCGGGAGAGGGAUGCGGAAUUCCAGGUGUAGCGGUGAAAUGCGCAGAUAUCGGGAGGAACACCAGUAGCGAAGGCGGCUCGCUGGGCCGUUCCUGACGCUGAGACGCGAAAGCUAGGGGAGCGAACAGG
This 253-nucleotide ribosomal RNA is filed under the name uncultured bacterium. RNAcentral's name for it is "partial 16S ribosomal RNA". It matches the Rfam family "Bacterial small subunit ribosomal RNA", at positions 524 to 776 of the family's 1533-position model. The record is from RNAcentral.